GAGUUUGAUCAUGGCUCAGAACGAACGCUGGCGGCGUGUUUAACACAUGCAAGUCGAGCGAGAAAGUUGGUCUUCGGACCGACGAGUAAAGCGGCAGACGGGUGAGUAACACGUGGAUAACCUGCCCUCAGGCGGGGAAUAACUACUCGAAAGGGUAGCUAAUACCGCAUAUGGCCACAUUGCUUUGGCGAUGUGGUCAAAGACUUCGGUCACCUGAGGAGGGGUCCGCGGCCGAUUAGCUAGUUGGUGGGGUAAAGGCUUACCAAGGCGACGAUCGGUAGCUGGUCUGAGAGGAUGAUCAGCCACACUGGUACUGAGACACGGACCAGACUCCUACGGGAGGCAGCAGUGGGGAAUAUUGCGCAAUGGACGAAAGUCUGACGCAGCAACGCCGCGUGGGUGAAGAAGGUCUUCGGGUCGUAAAGCCCUGUCAGGUGGGAAGAAACCUGCAUAGCAGCUGACGGUACCACCAAAGGAAGCACCGGCUAACUCCGUGCCAGCAGCCGCGGUAAUACGGAGGGUGCAAGCGUUGUUCGGAAUCACUGGGCGUAAAGGGCACGUAGGCGGCCUGGCAAGUCUGAUGUGAAAGCCCGGGGCU
Molecule: ribosomal RNA, 598 nt
Filed under: uncultured bacterium
Lineage: Bacteria
Description: partial 16S ribosomal RNA
Rfam family: Bacterial small subunit ribosomal RNA
Source: RNAcentral